This 160-nucleotide ribosomal RNA is filed under the name uncultured bacterium. RNAcentral's name for it is "partial 16S ribosomal RNA". It matches the Rfam family "Bacterial small subunit ribosomal RNA", at positions 355 to 507 of the family's 1533-position model. The record is from RNAcentral.
UGGGGAAUAUUGCACAAUGGGCGCAAGCCUGAUGCAGCCAUGCCGCGUGUAUGAAGAAGGCCUUCGGGUUGUAAAGUACUUUCAGCGGGGAGGAAGGCGUUGAGGUUAAUAACCUCAGCGAUUGACGUUACCCGCAGAAGAAGCACCGGCUAACUCCGUG